AAGAAUGAAACUCCUUGUCUCUGUUAGAAAUGAGCAUCAAAAGGAUAUAUCAAUUCAUUAAAAUCAAAAGGGCAUGAGUUAUCAGAAUUCCUUCUCCUGAAAGAAAGUGGAGAUCAAAUGUAGAACUUCUAAAGAGAAUGAGAUAAAAGCAGAUAAAAGAAGGUAACAAAAUAUUACAUGACUUGAUAACAUUGCACCCAUAUGAAAACCUUACGAAAUCAACUCAUUCUAGUGACCGUUUGUUUUUCUUCUUGUCCUAAUACUUUUUUUUUCUCUUGCAAUGAUAUUGAUCCUUCUGCACCCGGCAUCAAGUCUGCUUUUGUAGAGGAUGUUAAGAACACAGGAAAAUGGAAUCAGUGACUUUGCCUGCAAUCCUGUAGCAGCAGGGGUGCCCAUUUCCUCUCUCCUGAAGAAUGCCACAUUCUGCACUGUCUUCCACAAGUUUCAACAUAAGAGCAUGAACAUACAGAGUCACCAUUACUACCCUCACCACCAACACCAUAUUCACCCUUUUGAUCUGCAGACUUCCUUCAAGGCCUCCCGAAGUCACCCAGAAAUGCGUUUUCCCAAGAGUGAGUUGUGCUGACUUUUUAUCCUGUGGAACUCUGGGAAGUUACCCUGUUCCUCAUCUCUUGGCAUCUUGCUGACUGCAUGUUCCAGGCUCUGCAUUGAAGCCCCAGUGAUUGCCGAUGACUGUACGACCUAAGGUAUAUCCUCAAUCAUUUCUUGGCCUCAGCUUCUUCACCACUAAAUUCUGGGUGCUGGAGUUGGAAAUAUUUCAGGUUCUUUUCAACUGGAAAUGCCUAUGCUAAUAAUUUUAGUAAGGCAAUAUCCAUAGAAACCUACUGACAAACUGAGUAUUUAAUAGAGUUGUACUUCCUUAAUUUUUACCAGAAGGGAAUGCAUAUGUAUAAUAUCUAUGUUGCCUUAUACGUGUAAAAUUAAAUACACAGACAC
Callithrix jacchus (white-tufted-ear marmoset) is the source of this 957-nucleotide non-coding RNA. NCBI's taxonomy places the organism in Eukaryota, Metazoa, Chordata, Mammalia, Primates, Cebidae. The record is from RefSeq and is a predicted model, not a curated record.